GUGCUCACUUCAGCAGCACAUAUACUAAAAUUGGAACGACACAGAGAAGAUUAGCAUGGCUCCUGCGCAAGGGUGACACGCAAAUUCGUGAAGCGUUCCAUACUAAA
Oryctolagus cuniculus (rabbit) is the source of this 107-nucleotide small nuclear RNA. The record is from Ensembl. Lineage: Eukaryota; Metazoa; Chordata; Mammalia; Lagomorpha; Leporidae.